This 253-nucleotide ribosomal RNA is filed under the name uncultured bacterium. RNAcentral describes it as "partial 16S ribosomal RNA". It matches the Rfam family "Bacterial small subunit ribosomal RNA", at positions 524 to 776 of the family's 1533-position model. The record is from RNAcentral.
UACGAAGGGGGCUAGCGUUGCUCGGAAUCACUGGGCGUAAAGCGCACGUAGGCGGAUUGCUAAGUCAGGGGUGAAAUCCUGGAGCUCAACUCCAGAACUGCCCUUGAUACUGGCGGUCUCGAGUCCGGGAGAGGUGAGUGGAACUGCGAGUGUAGAGGUGAAAUUCGUAGAUAUUCGUAAGAACACCAGUGGCGAAGGCGGCUCACUGGCCCGGUACUGACGCUGAGGUGCGAAAGCGUGGGGAGCAAACAGG